Pseudoalteromonas atlantica is the source of this 71-nucleotide non-coding RNA. The record is from Rfam. NCBI's taxonomy places the organism in Bacteria, Pseudomonadati, Pseudomonadota, Gammaproteobacteria, Alteromonadales, Pseudoalteromonadaceae.
UCACGCAUGGUGUUGUUAUCUAGUUGGUUUUUGGCGAAAUUUAUUAGAUCAAAUGGCGCUAUGCGUGUCUA